Molecule: ribosomal RNA, 821 nt
Filed under: uncultured Treponema sp.
Lineage: Bacteria; Pseudomonadati; Spirochaetota; Spirochaetia; Treponematales; Treponemataceae
Description: partial 23S ribosomal RNA
Rfam family: Bacterial large subunit ribosomal RNA
Source: RNAcentral
GUAGUCGAGAGGGAAACAGCCCGACCGACGGCUAAGGUCCCCGAUAGUAUGCUAAGUGUGAAAUGAUGUGUGAUGGCGAAGACAGCCAGGAGGUUGGCUUAGAAGCAGCCAUUCCUUUAAAGAGUGCGUAAUAGCUCACUGGUCGAGUCAUGAUGCGCAAACAAUGUAACGGGGCUAAGCAUACAACCGAAGCCGCGGAUUCAAUAAGCAAUUUUUGGAUGGUAGGGGAGCAUUCCACAGACUGAAGAAGGUACACUGUGAGGUGUGCUGGAGGGAGUGGAAGAGAGAAUGCAGGUAUAAGUACACGAAAAGAAGGGUGAGAUUCCCUCCGCCGAAAGCCUAAGGAUUCCUGGGUAAAGGUCAUCUGCCCAGGGUAAGUCGGCCCCUAAGGCGAGGACGAAAGUCGUAGUCGAUGGGAAACUGGUUCAUAUUCCAGUACCGUUUUUGGUUUUAAGGGAUGACGCCUGAGGUGAAACCCGGCCGGGCGACGGUUGUCCCGGUCGAAGCCGCUAGUUAUUGGGGAUGGAGGAAACAUCCCCUAGAUGAGCUGUGACAGCGAGUGGAGUCUACGGCUAAGCGAAGCGGGUGUAAUCAAGGUGCCAAGAAAUAAUCCCCAUCUAGUAAGGCCAGGAAGACCGUACCGUAAACCGACACAGGUAGGCGGGAUGAGAAAUCUAAGGCGCUCGAGAGAACUCACGUUAAGGAACUCGGCAAAAUGCCACGUAACUUCGGGAGAAGUGUGGCCGUUGCCAGUUUUAGCAAUAGAGUUGAUGGCGGCGUCACAAAGCAGUCCCAGGCGACUGUUUAUCAAAAACACAGGC